CAAGCGGUGGAGCAUGUGGUUUAAUUCGAUGCAACGCGAAGAACCUUACCUGGUCUUGACAUCCACAGAACUUUUCAGAGAUGAGAAGGUGCCUUCGGGAACUGUGAGACAGGUGCUGCAUGGCUGUCGUCAGCUCGUGUUGUGAAAUGUUGGGUUAAGUCCCGCAACGAGCGCAACCCUUAUCCUUUGUUGCCAGCGGUCCGGCCGGGAACUCAAAGGAGACUGCCAGUGAUAAACUGGAGGAAGGUGGGGAUGACGUCAAGUCAUCAUGGCCCUUACGACCAGGGCUACACACGUGCUACAAUGGCGCAUACAAAGAGAAGCGACCUCGCGAGAGCAAGCGGACCUCAUAAAGUGCGUCGUAGUCCGGAUUGGAGUCUGCAACUCGACUCCAUGAAGUCGGAAUCGCUAGUAAUCGUGGAUCAGAAUGCCACGGUGAAUACGUUCCCGGGCCUUGUACACACC
RNAcentral lists this ribosomal RNA (465 nucleotides) under uncultured bacterium. RNAcentral's name for it is "bacterial SSU rRNA". It matches the Rfam family "Bacterial small subunit ribosomal RNA", at positions 926 to 1391 of the family's 1533-position model. The record is from RNAcentral.